This is a long non-coding RNA of Manis pentadactyla (Chinese pangolin), 795 nucleotides long. RefSeq lists it as uncharacterized. The transcript is spliced from 3 exons. The record is from RefSeq and is a predicted model, not a curated record. Lineage: Eukaryota; Metazoa; Chordata; Mammalia; Pholidota; Manidae.
CAGGAGGAAUCAAAGCAUCCAUCACAACUGUAGCUGACAAAGGAAAGGAGCCAAGAGGCGGUGACUCCAGCUAUGCUGAGCUGCUCUGAAUUAGGAAUUGUCUGUAAUUUGAAUGCCAAAGGAUGAUGAGGUAUCAUGAUCUGGCAUAAUGCAAGGAUACAAGGCAAACUACUUGCAGAGAAUGAUGGAUUUCAUAUCACAGGCCUCAAAGUGGCUAGCUGCUACGGCAAGACUAAUUACUUUUAAUGGCUUGGAAAACCUGUUACUGACCUUUCGUUGAAGUGUGACAGAGAAGACAGCAGCAUAAAUUCACUCUCAGCUUUUUUUUUUUUUUACUCUGGUAUUGUCGUUUCUCAUAUACAGCUUGAGUUUUGAGCCAGAGACAGGUUGAAAGAUAUGCAAUCAUCAGUUCAGGGGCUCUAAAGCAAUGGAGACUUAUCAGCCGGUUCAAGAAAAGGAAAGGAAAGGAGGCCUUCUUCUCUGAACAGAACAUAACUCAUCAUCACACACUAUCACAAGCAAUUUGUUCAUAGAAAAUCAAUUCAGUCCUCUGACCAAUACCUCCUAAACCUUAUCUCUUCUUUAUCUCUCACAGGAAAUAAAUUACCUGGUACUAUGAUAACUCAAUGAUAAACUCAAAUGAUAAAAAUAAAGGACAUUUCCCAUGGGAGAAGGACACUAGUUCAUUUAAUUCAGUAUUCUGUUUUUAUAAUACUGUAAAAGGGGCCAGUUUUGAGGAGUGGGUGAUAAUUUUUCUUUGAUAACUAUAUAAAAAUAUUAAUUCUUAAGGUAAUU